GGGGACGACAGAUUUCCAGCUUCUACGACGCUCUGCCUAAAUUAAAAAGCAACCAAUCGGAACGGCCGGAAGGGGGGCCGCGCGUCCUGAGCCAGUCAUUCCGGGCCUGCCAAUCACCCAGCGGGUAGCCAAUCAGCGGGGGCCCUGGUGCUCGACUUCCUUGUAUUUGGGAAAGUGUGGUGGUGGGUGCGCGCUCGCGGCGGAGGGUAAACAUUCGACAGUCCCUGCUCUGAGAGGGAGGGACAGAGAGCGAACUGUCAGAUCCCUGCGAGAGCGGGCGGGCGAGCGAGGGAGAGGGAGUGAGAGAGAGAGAGAGAGAGGGAGGGAGAGGGAAAGUGAGAGAGGGAGAGAGCGCGAACGAGGGCGCAGAGCGAGCUCCCGCUGCAACUCCGCUCCGGCUUGGCCAGCGCCAGCGCCGUCGGUGCACUCUACGAGCCGUGCAACGUGCCCACUGGAGUUGGUUGUGUAUCAAGGAUCCCCUAUAUGCACACACACACCUCCACCUCCACCAAUGCACUCUUCUUCCUCCUCCUCCUCCAGACAACUGCUGGGAAAAAAAUAAAACACCAACCCCAACCGUCAGCAACAAGAGGCAACCAAGAGCUCCGGCAAUAGCAACUUCAGAGAAAUGCACCAUCGCAAGAAGUUUUCCUAGGACAGAACAAAACUUGAAACGAAAGGACCAGAGGAGGAGAGCAGGAGCCAGCCUCUCCUCUCCGCACACGCGAGCAGCCAGCAUCACCACGCCUUCAAGGACGGAAAAAAAGUUUUACUACUCUAAGGGAAAACGAGUGAAAUGUGUUCCUGAGGAGGAGAGAAGAGAGCGGGCAAGGGAAGCAGCGGUCCGGUUGCUGGUCACCCACAAUUUGGUUAAGGAAGAAAGGAACGGCUGCUUUCUUUGUUGUCUCCCGUGAAAUCUUCACUUAGCAGGUGGACUGAGCCCCGCGCCCGGGCAGAGUCCGCGCUCGGCGGA
Long non-coding RNA from Leopardus geoffroyi (Geoffroy's cat), 973 nucleotides. RefSeq lists it as uncharacterized. The record is from RefSeq and is a predicted model, not a curated record. The transcript is spliced from 2 exons. Lineage: Eukaryota; Metazoa; Chordata; Mammalia; Carnivora; Felidae.